This 26-nucleotide non-coding RNA is filed under the name Rattus norvegicus (Norway rat). Lineage: Eukaryota; Metazoa; Chordata; Mammalia; Rodentia; Muridae. The record is from RNAcentral.
UACAUCACCCAAAGGAAACCAGGAAC